CCUGACGGUAGUCGUAUGCUCGUCUCCGAGACUAAGCCAUGCAAGUCCAAGUACACGUCCUUGAACGACGGAAACUGCGAACGGCUCAUUAAAUCAGUUGCGAUCUACUCGGCGUUCCGCGCCGCCGGAUAACCGUAGUAAUUCUAGGGCUAAUACGUGCGAAGCGCCCGAAGCCGCGAGGCGACGGGCGUUCUCGCCGGAUGUAGGAACCGACCCGGGGACCGCCGGGGCAACCCGGCGCCCCCGAGACGGGGCGAACCACGGUGAAAUGACGGAUCGUCGGCCCCGCGCCGGCGACUCGCCGAAUGAGUUUCUGACCUAUCAACUCGAGACGGCGGGGUAGAGGCCCGCGCGGUAACGACGGGUAACGGGGAAUCGAGGGUUCGAUUCCGGAGAGGGGAGCCCGAGAACGGCUACCACUUCCAAGGAAGGCAGCAGGCGCGCAACUUACCCUAAUC
This 458-nucleotide ribosomal RNA is filed under the name uncultured eukaryote. Its description in RNAcentral is "bacterial SSU rRNA". It matches the Rfam family "Eukaryotic small subunit ribosomal RNA", at positions 13 to 450 of the family's 1831-position model. The record is from RNAcentral.